UACGGGGGGGGCAAGCGUUGUUCGGAAUUACUGGGCGUAAAGCGUGCGCAGGCGGUUCGUUGUGUCGGCGGUGAAAGCCCCGGGCUUAACCUGGGAAUGGCCGUUGAAACUGGCGAACUGGAGUGUGGCAGAGGGGGGUGGAAUUCCGCGUGUAGCAGUGAAAUGCGUAGAGAUGCGGAGGAACACCGAUGGCGAAGGCAGCCCCCUGGGCUAACACUGACGCUCAGGCACGAAAGCGUGGGGAGCAAACAGG
Molecule: ribosomal RNA, 253 nt
Filed under: uncultured bacterium
Lineage: Bacteria
Description: partial 16S ribosomal RNA
Rfam family: Bacterial small subunit ribosomal RNA
Source: RNAcentral